This 405-nucleotide ribosomal RNA is filed under the name Rhodopygia cardinalis. RNAcentral describes it as "partial 12S ribosomal RNA". It matches the Rfam family "Microsporidia small subunit ribosomal RNA", at positions 756 to 1311 of the family's 1311-position model. The record is from RNAcentral. Lineage: Eukaryota; Metazoa; Arthropoda; Insecta; Odonata; Libellulidae.
AAUAGUUAUGUUCUUGAAACCCAAAGAAUUUGGCGGUAUUUUAUUCUUUUUAGAGGAGCCUGUCCUGUAAUUGAUAACCCACGAUGAUAAAGUACCUAUUCUUGUUUUCAGUUUGUAUAUCUCCAUCAUAAGAUUAUCUUUUUAGAGUUAAUAUUCUACUAAUAUAAAAUAUUAUAUGACAGGUCAAGGUGCAGUUCAUGAUUAGGUAGAGAUGGGCUACAAUAAAUAUAUUUAUAUGGAUUAUUGUUUUUAUUGAUAAUAUGAAGGUGGAUUUAAAAGUAAAAUUAUUUUCUUGAUAUUUUGAUUUUAGCUCUAAAAUAUGUACACAUCGCCCGUCGCUCUUAUUUUAAAAUAAGAUAAGUCGUAACAUAGUAGGUGUACUGGAAGGUGUACCUAGUAAGUAAA